This 995-nucleotide long non-coding RNA is filed under the name Chinchilla lanigera (long-tailed chinchilla). Its description in RNAcentral is "lncRNA (ENSCLAG00000022734.1)". The record is from RNAcentral. Lineage: Eukaryota; Metazoa; Chordata; Mammalia; Rodentia; Chinchillidae.
AUGGGCUCAGCAGAUAGAACAGUGACUCACCUUCUCUGUCUGAAAUUAGGAAACUGGAAACAUGGCAAGAACUUCUCAAGGGUAAUCGUUUUUCCUGACUGGUAUCUUAAGCUUGUCAAGUUCUUAGCCAGAGCUUUCCAAGGCGGGUUUGGAGGAAGCAUAUGGUGUUCGCCCGGUCCAUAUGACUGGCUGAGCGUCGACCACUACUGUUGAUACAAUAUCUCACUUUUUCCUCAAUAUUAUGACAGCAUUUGUCAAUGAAAAUUAAAUUACUGUCAAACUUAUCCUGCUAACUUACGGCACAACCGUUGGAGAAAGCCAGCGCCGCGCCUUAAGCCAAGGGGACCUUGUCUUUAUGCUCAACCAAGAGGCGAGCGAGAAAGACAUGGGGACUUCUGUGCCAGCAGGGAUGGCUUGCCAAGCAGCAUCAGGAUGCAACAGCAACCACCUUCCCUUAGCCCAGGGCACUGGGAAGGGAGUCUGACGGAGGUGGGGCAAGGGGGAGUCACUUCAGGGGAUCUUGUCAAGACAAGCAAUGUUUUCUAAGGGAAAUAGCACACAUGUUACACGUAUGUGCUGGUUAAAAGGGGGAAGAAAAGAUUAUAUGUUUGAAAUCAAAGAUCUCUGGGGGUGUGUUUAAAAUCUCACAUAAAUACACUGGAGCCAUCACAUGGAAACACUUAAAAGCUGGAUUCGGUCAGAAACUACUUUCAGCUUCUUCUAUACCUUUGAACCACCUUAUCUCUCAUACUUUCCAGAAUCCAAGAUUGGGGAUGUGGCUGUUUAUAUUUUCCCCUCUAAGGAAACAGAUGCAUUGUGAAAUUAUGAGUUGCAAAACUCUCACCAUUAAAAUUGUUUUCUUCUCCAAUCGCCCCUCCUGGAAAGUCUCUGAAAGCAAAUGGGUAGCUAGCUGAAUACCAGCAGAUAGCUACAUCAAGGGCUACCUGGGAAUUUAGGAAUUUGCACCCCCCUUCCUGAUCUGUCCCCAUCCCUCA